GAAAGUUGCCCACGUUCCUCUGCAUGCUGUGCGUUCUCCUCCCUUCAGGGGUAUACUGUAAUCUGGUCAAUGUCGAUUGCUUCAUCAAUAAGUGCCAGGCUGCUGACAGACCUGCUGUCAACCCCGACAGUUAACAGAGCAAUGUCUAAUUGAUUAAUUGAUCUUAUUUUUAACCUGUGGGCUACUAGCUUUGGGAGGUGAUUGUACUGUGAUGUUCCCUGGUCAGAGACUGCACUGUUCUUGUGUGGAGGAAUGACAUGAGCCGCAAUUCAACUUCUGCUGGGAUGCUUUGGCUACUAUUCAUACAUGUGAACUCAUUUCAGAAAGCUGGACUUUCUUGUACCUUUGGAAUGACACAUGAAGCAUUGAAUCUGUUUCCACACAGACCAUCAGCAAACCAACCCCAUAAACACAGUCUCUCACUCAAGGUGACAGAGUGCUUUUAAGGAACCAGAUUUUUACUGGUUGAUAGAAUAUUUACCUGUGUCCUUUAUUUUUUUGCUUUGGAGGACAACAUACUGUUUUCUAGUUAACCUUAGAGU
Molecule: long non-coding RNA, 542 nt
Organism: Corapipo altera (White-ruffed manakin)
Lineage: Eukaryota; Metazoa; Chordata; Aves; Passeriformes; Pipridae
Exons: 3
Source: RefSeq, a predicted model, not a curated record